RNAcentral lists this unclassified non-coding RNA (33 nucleotides) under Leishmania tarentolae. RNAcentral describes it as "guide RNA". The record is from RNAcentral. Lineage: Eukaryota; Euglenozoa; Kinetoplastea; Trypanosomatida; Trypanosomatidae.
AAACGAAGAAUCGAGUCACGGAUAAAUGAGAGA